CGUGGGGAACCUGCCCCAUAGUNUGGGAUACCACUUGGAAACAGGUGCUAAUACCGGAUAAGAAAGCAGAUCGCAUGAUCAGCUUUUAAAAGGCGGCGUAAGCUGUCGCUAUGGGAUGGCCCCGCGGUGCAUUAGCUAGUUGGUAAGGUAAAGGCUUACCAAGGCGAUGAUGCAUAGCCGAGUUGAGAGACUGAUCGGCCACAUUGGGACUGAGACACGGCCCAAACUCCUACGGGAGGCAGCAGCC
Molecule: ribosomal RNA, 247 nt
Filed under: uncultured Lactobacillus sp.
Lineage: Bacteria; Bacillati; Bacillota; Bacilli; Lactobacillales; Lactobacillaceae
Description: partial 16S ribosomal RNA
Rfam family: Bacterial small subunit ribosomal RNA
Source: RNAcentral